CCUAGCGUAUUGCGUAGUUCCGGUCAGUUUUCAAAAAAUAUCGAUUGUGCAGAUCAUCAGCAGAGCUUUAAAAUUAUCGUAAAUAUCAUAAGUUCAAGCUAACUACGUGUGGGAAGUGACAGUCGGUUCCAUUCGAAUGUCAUCCACAAACGACUUGUUAGAUCACAGUGAUACAACACCCUUCAAUAAGCCUGAACAAGUGUCAUUGGAGGCCAGGAAUGAGGCCAAGAUGUCACUGACUCUUGCUGUUGGUGCCACAUGCAACAGUGUAUAGUCACAAACAUGGUAUUGCGUUAAAGAUGUGAUCAGGUGAAGUUACAGUGGAUGUCACAAAGUGGUGACUGAAAACAACAAGAUAUGAGGCUCGGGGACAAUUCCUGGUCAAGUCAUACUUUGCAGAAGUUGUGCCUCUUCAGGAACACAUGUCCUCCCUUGCAAAGUAUCAUGUGCAUCCAUUUGGUUCAGGAAGACUAUGUGCACCAUCAAAGUCUGAGGGGAGAGAGUGGCAAUAACGCUGGAGGAAGUUGAUAUUUGGGCAAAAGACGGCAAUGAUGUCGGGAGCUUUGACGUAACAUGCCUGCAAACCACCAUCCAAUGUUGAGAACUUCUUGGAUGAUUCCCCAGUUGCCAUGACAAUUGCCAUUAGAGGAUGAGCUGUACUACACUGUCAGUGAUGUUGAAAUUGAGAUGUACUUUUCCACAUUUUGAUUCUAAACUAAUAAGAUGUAAUGUUCGUUUAUCAACCAAUUUCGAUAUAUUCUUUCCCGAAAAGUAACAAAUUAUCCAUUUUUUAUUCUCACACAUUUUCAUACCAUUACUUCAUUUCCCACUGCAUAAGUACAUUUUUGGACUUUGUAAUUUUUGGCUAGUCUGAUUUGUGCUUGGGUCACUAACAAGCAAACCAUCAAAAGAAUCACUUUGAACCUUUGGAAUACCUGUUAGCUAUUAAAUGUACAAAAUUAAUUAAAUAAACCAUUAAAGGAUAAAAUCAGGUGAGCGUUCAUUACCUGCAGGUGGUGCUCUUGUUAAAAAAAUAUUUUCACCUGUAUAAUAACUAUCACAUGCUCAUUCUAAAGCGUAUUUUUUUAUUCAUAUGUUUUCACAUACUGUAUCAUUGUGGAAUUUUUAAUAUUUAAACAUCUAUGUAUAUAAGCUGUUAAAAGUAAGGUGUUUAAGAAUCCAUACAUUUAUUGUGCAUAUUUCACAAACUUACCUGCUAUUUCAUACUUAAUGUUGAUAUUUUCCUAAUAUAGAAGGACAAUAGUGCUUGCUUAAUUCACUUCACCCUUUGUGAAACUGAUUAAAUAUGAUUGAUAGUGCUAACACAUGUAUUUUUUGUUAGAGGUAUUGCUGUUUAUGUUUUUCCUAACUCAUCAUGCCAGUAGUGCUUACAUAUAACUCAUGUUUUUACCAGUUGCUGUUUCAUACUGAAAAUUGGCUCAAGACCACAGUUAUCUGCCCCCGUUGACCCCCCGUUGACCAAGAUCCAGAUGUGAAUACAGAAAAAAGAGUGCUUGUGUUCAAGUAUCAAUAUUUUAUUAAAAUUGAAUGAAAAAGAAGCAAAAAAUGUUCUUUUUGCAGAGAACUUGACUGAAUUUGACACUCUAUUGCAGAAAUUGGUAGUUUUCAAUGUAAAUAUUGGAAAAAUCAUAGCUUGUGGAAGUCUGAAAAUUAGUUGUUUGUAGCCGAUUGACUCCCUGGUGGAAGGGUUAUGUAUUUGAACUCCAUUUUGACAGUCGGGUCAAUGGUCAACAUGGUGUUUUCUUGUGAUUAUAUUUUGUGUCUUGAAUUGUUCUAGAGAUGGCAUUGUCUUGUUUUUCAAUUGGGGUGUGUAUAAAGUCAAAAGCCAGGUUAGUGUCUAUAUGAAACAUAUAUAGUAAAAAUAACUGUGGUCUCACGCCAUAUCUAUAGAGGAAGCUUUUGGAGGGGUGGCCUAUUUUAAAUUGUUAUAAAUUCUUAAUUUAUACAGCUAUCUGGUUGAAAUUUGGCCAGUUGACAGUGCUUAGCCAUAGAAUAUUGGUGUUUGAGUAUGAAAUGUGAAAAUCUUAUAUUACAUAAUAUGAAUUAAUAAUAUAUAAUUUUCUUAUAUAUUUUUGACAUUUUUAAAAAAAAACUACUUUCACUUUCAAUUUAAUGUUUGGAAAUAGUUCCAAAUGAUGGUAACUAAUGAAUGAAAGCCUCACUUUCAAUUCCAAAGUAUUAAUGGAGGGAUUUUUUUAACAUAGGAAGCAGACCCAGGAGGAACUAUCUGUUGAAGAACCAGCCAGACAGCCCCCCCCCCCACCACCACCACCACCAAGCUGCCCACCAGAGGCCAAGCUGUACUUGGUGUUUUGCCAACAUGCUGUAAUUUCCAGCCUGGUUGCUGUAGCCACAGAGGAAUUUUCAAGGACAAGAACCAGUGCUGGUAAAACUGUGGUCUCGUGUGGUUUUCCAUACCAGCUCUCGGCAAGGAUUUUCAAGAAAGGAAUACCAUCUCCAAAUCAUGAUGUGCCAAUAAGCUCCAGUUAGCUGCGGCCUUUUCCCCAGGCGGUAGUCCUGCAAUCUGAAUCCAGGAGAUGCAGCUCUGAAUCCAAUAUUUCAGAAGAAUGAAGAUGUUAGUCAACUCUGUAGUACUUGUUUGUGUGUAAAUGAUUCCAAUGAGUGAGAUUUAUAGCAAAUCAGGUGUAAAUAAGCAUCUUAUAGACAAUGGUGAAGUGCUGUACUCUGAAUUUAAUGCCAAAUCUAGCCUUCAAAACAGAUUCUUAAAGUAUUUUUUUUUUAAAAAUGGGCAUAAUAAUGCUAUCUCUGCAUUUUCUACAUCAUGUAGCCACCUCAUACAUGAAAACACUAGCAGUUGUCAUGAAUCUUUAAGUUUUGGUGUGUUUUUUGCCAUUUCCUCUGUUGCGCCAUUUGUCCCGGAAGCCAACAAUUUGGCAUAUAGUGUUGUUUAGACUGUCUAUUAACACAUGAUCACUAAAUUUCUUGUGUUAAACUGAACAGUUCUGUUACCUUUGUAUACAAGUGGACCAGAAAAGCAAAAUUUUGACAAGUUGAGGCAUUUCAGUUUGGCCCUAUGUCAUUUUAGCCGAUGAAGUGGAAAAACCUUAUUUUGCUUAGAAAAAAAUCUUAAAAGAGUAGGCAGGCCAUUUUUGUGGUGCUGUUCUAUAGACACCAUUAAAAGCUACAAGGAAAACUUUACUUGGUCAAAUUAUUCCAAUGCAUAAGGAAAUAAUGGCUCUUCAAAGGUUUGCGGCUUAACAUUUGAGGGAAAUGGCUGUUUCUGCUUUUUAUGAAAAUACCACAGGUGCUAAUACUUGUCUCAUUCAUUUAGUGUUUGAUAUAUCAUUGCCAAACAUUCAGUAUGUGUUGCAUAUAGCCUGAAGCUGAACUAUAGGAGUUUUGAAGUCUGUUUCUGAAAAAAUGUUGCUUAAAUAGGCUCAAGACCACAGUUAUCGGCCCCCCGUUGACCAAGAUCCGGAUGUGAAUACAGAAAAAAAGAGUGCUUGUGUUCAAGUAUCAAUAUUUUAUUAAAAUUGAAUGAAAAAGAAGCAAAAAAUGUUCUUUUUGCAGAGAACUUGACUGAAUUUGACACUCUAUUGCAGAAAUUGAUAGGUUUUCAAUGUAAAUAUUGGAAAAAUCAUAGCUUGUGGAAGUCUGAAAAUUAGUUGUUUGUAGCCGAUUGACUCCCUGGCGGAAGGGUUAUGUAUUUGAACUCCAUUUUGACAGUCGGGUCAAUGGUCAACAUGGUGUUUUCUUGUGAUUAUAUUUUGUGUCUUGAAUUGUUCUAGAGAUGGCAUGUCCUUGUUUUUCAAUUGGGGUGUGUAUAAAGUCAAAAGCCAGGUUAGUGUCUAUAUGAAACAUAUAGUAAAAAUAACUGUGGUCUCACGCUUUAUGGAACGAUGGCAUAUAAACACUUUCAUGGAAUAAUUGCAAAAAAACUGAUUACACAUUGUAUCUGAUUUGAUUGUUUGUUUUAAUGAUACUUUUCUACAAUUCUGCUCAGUAUAUGUUGAUAAUGUAAAUUUAUAGAUUUGUUAUCACCCUCAACAUACAGUUUGCUCACUUUAAUACUUUUUCUACACAGACAAUAACUGAAUUUUUUGUUAAUAUAUUUAAUCCAUAAAAUUAUGUAAACUUACAUUCUGUUCUGAAUUGUGGUUUAUUCGAAGUAUUUUAAUAACAUUCCUAAAUAAUCGUGUUCAUAAAAGUCCUUCUUACACUGAAUGUCAGUCAAAAAGUCUGCUUAGCAGUUCAUUGUAGCUUUCAGUAAGAUACUAGUUUCACACAUGACCAGUUUGUGCAUUUCUCACUGAAAUUAGCCAAUAAUCAAAGCGCGAAGCGCUGAAAGGCCAUCUGCGGGCAAAUAUGUGAGAGUUGCAAAAUUUAUUUGAACUAUGGUGAAGGGCACAUAAAUAAAAGUGAAAAAUGUGCUGAGGGCCAAAGCUGCUUGUGCCCACACUGGGCGAGGAAACAAACAUAUCUUUAUCUAUUUUAGGGCGUCUUUUGUCAUUUUGUUUAUGUAAAUGUCACUUCAUGUAUUUAUGUUACAAUGCACGCCCCUUUCAAUCGUUUCUAAAGGGUUUUCGCUGCUUUGAUUAGAUAUCAUACAAUAGAAAAAUACAAUACAUCAUAUAUUUCAUUUCCUUUUAUGAACAUACUCAUUUUGUUUGAUGAAAAUAAUUUCUUAAACAACUCCAGCAAUAAUUCCAUUCAAAAUGCACAGCGUAUCACUUCAGUCGACGUCAUGAUCCCGGCCCAUGUAUUUAAAAUUACAAUGCAUGCCCCUUUCAAUCGCUUCUAAAGGUUUUUCGGUGCUUUGAUUAGAUAUCAUAUGUAAGGCAAGUUUUAUAACAUACACGUUUUAAAUGUUUGAGGAAAAUGAUUUUAUUUUUACGAGCAACUUUAGAAACAAUUCCUAUCAAAAUGCAGAGCUUAUCAGAUGGGUCGUUUUCCCGCGGUGAGGACAAAAAAUGUGGUCAGUUAAUAAAUGUAGAAACUAUUUUUAAAAAAUCUGUCAGUUUAUGUAGUUGAAACUAUUUUUAGAUUAUCGGAAAUUGUCUGUUCUAAGAAUGGGAAUAUGAUUGCGCUUUUUCAAGUUUUAUUGAUAAAUAAAUGUUAUUUAUGUGUUACAUAAAUAUCUGUGUAAAAAUAAUACAAGUAUGGUGAUGAAGGCUUCGCACACUUUAGAUGUUUUACAGGUUAAAUCCGAACUACUUUGGUUCAUCAAGCGUCUGCAUGACCCACUAUCGUAUCAGGGCAUGUAUGUUAGAAUAAAUUGAAAGCCUCAUGUCCAAAACAAUGGCAAGAAUUCACCGGAACGAAGCUAUUACGCAAAAAAAUGAAAACAUCUUAUUAGAAAAGUAUACGCCUAAAAAUUACAGAAUAAAUAGUAUUUUGUAAUUGUAUAGCAGGCAAAUCAUAGUAUUUGAAGCAAUAGCAACGCGAAAUUGAGAUACAACUAUUUUGACUUUUAGACAGUCAUUUUUUUUCUUAUCUCAAUAAAGUAAUAUCAAAUAUACAUCAUUACAAAUACGCGUGCUUCAGGGUCACUACAAGUUAUAAUAACAAACCCUGCAGGCGAUGGGACACUUGCGGUCGGUAAUAAUUUCUAGAACAUCUUGGGCUAAACACAGAGUGAAUAUCAGUAUGUUACCUUCCAACCAGAGCCUCCAUUAUUUUUACCCAUUAAUCUGAUAAAUAUAACGAUCUAAAAAUAGUUAUAUCCUGCUAAAAAUAAAACGCCGUGAUACAGAAAUACAGCGUGGAAAUAGCCGAACAACCAAGAACUGCAUCAUAACUACCACAUUCUCAACUAAAGAUUAAUAAUUUAUUCCAUGUUUUUAACAUACAUGUACAUUUUAUGCACAUUAACUUUCAUGUAUCUAUGUUUGAUCAAUUAAAGUCAGGUGUGUAAGAUUCAAUUUUGACAUUGAAUUUCUUACAGAACUGCAAUAUCUUAUAAUGCCCCCCUUCGAAGAAGAGGGCUAUAUUGCUUUGCACAUGUCAGUCGGUCUGAGUGAUAACUCAACAAAUCCUGGAUGUAUGGUCAUCAAAUUUGACAUGAAGGUUGGGCCUGACCAGUAGAUGACCCCUAUUGAUUUGAGGGCUCAUCAGGCCAAAGAUCAAGGUCAUUAGAUGGCACUAUUUAUUUUAGGGGUCAAAGGUCUAGGUCACAGUGACCUUGAAUAUGAAAAUUUGUUGGAGUGAUAACUCGACAAUGCAUGCACUCAUGGCCCUCAAACUUGACUUUUGUUGUGUCUGACCUGUAUAUGACCCCUUAUGAUUUUAGAAAAAGCUUGUUUGUGUGAUAACUUGACAAUGCCUUCAUCCAUGACCCUCAAACUUGACAUUCAGGUUUUUGCUGACCAACUGAUGACUUCUUUGAGGUCAUAGAGUCAAAGGUCAUUGUCAUAACACACUCUAUCCUCUCACUUUGAAUGGUCAUAAUCUUAAAACUGCCUUAACAGCAUCCAAGGACAGUGACUAAUCAGCUGUCACUUCGGUCCAUGCAUAUUUCAUUCAAUUGUCCAUAUAAUCCUGACAACAUGGUGCUCAGGGGAAGCACAGUGUUUGACAAACAUCUGUUGUUUUAUGUUCAUAUUUUUUUCUCAUUUAAACAAUAGUGCUGGCAGCUAAUGCUUAUAUCAUAAGUGUGUACUUUCAAUAUAUAUUAUAGACUGGUUGAUUAUGCUUAUACAUGUAUUUUUGUUAAUCUAAUUGCUGUUUUAGGACUCAUCAUGUGUGCAUUUUUUUUACCAGUUGCUGCUUUAAACUGAUACUAAUUGAAAAUGGUGCAUAAUCACUGAUAACACAUUGAAACUAAAUGUUCCAUUCAUACAUUUAUACAUGUCUUUUCAGUAUAUAUGUUGAUAAUGUUAAUACAUAUUACAUGUGCAUUUACUCAUGUGUUUCUUGCCAACCUCAUCAAAACAUGCAUAGUUUGCUCACAUAUAUAUCUACAACACAGUCAUUUACUGAAUUUAAAACUACUUUGCAUUGAUUUUGAUAUGUUAAUGAAGCAUAGUACUACUUGUUGGUACAAAACGCUUUUCAUUUGCUAUGGUGUACAUUUCUGUGUUCUGUUUGCACACAGAUGUCAUUUUCGAAUCAAUUUUUCAAAACUGACAUGAUAUUAAUUUGCAUUGUGAAACUUUUCAGUUGAAAACAAUCCUAACAUGUGGUAAAAUAAAUGUCUGAAUGUGUUUCAAAAAUGUGACCAUAUUAUGCAUAGUUACUGCAGUGAAAUAUGCAAUGACAUACUUUCAUAUCAACUCAUGUAUCUAUAUUUCCCUUUCAACUACUUCGAAAUAACUUCCCAAUCCUAAAAUAUUCUACAAACAUUACUUUCAUCUUGAUGUACGUUCUAUGUGUAUAUAUUUUGCCUGAUAAAAUUAAAGCCUGUCAACGUC
Long non-coding RNA from Mya arenaria, 7391 nucleotides. RefSeq lists it as uncharacterized. The record is from RefSeq and is a predicted model, not a curated record. Lineage: Eukaryota; Metazoa; Mollusca; Bivalvia; Myida; Myidae. The transcript is spliced from 6 exons.